UACGGAGGGUGCAAGCGUUAUCCGGAUUCACUGGGUUUAAAGGGUGCGUAGGCGGGCAGGGAAGUCAGUGGUGAAAUCUCCGGGCUUAACCCGGAAACUGCCAUUGAUACUAUUUGUCUUGAAUACUGUGGAGGUCAGCGGAAUAUGUCAUGUAGCGGUGAAAUGCUUAGAUAUGACAUAGAACACCAAUUGCGAAGGCAGCUGGCUACACAAAUAUUGACACUGAGGCACGAAAGCGUGGGGAUCAAACAGG
Molecule: ribosomal RNA, 253 nt
Filed under: uncultured bacterium
Lineage: Bacteria
Description: partial 16S ribosomal RNA
Rfam family: Bacterial small subunit ribosomal RNA
Source: RNAcentral